GUCUAUGGCCACGCCACCCUGAACAAGCCCAAUGUCUGAUUGCGGAAACUAAACAGGAUCAGGCCUGGUUAGUACUUGGAUGGGAGACCACCUAGGAAGACCAGGUGCUGUAGGCA
RNAcentral lists this ribosomal RNA (116 nucleotides) under Pteropus alecto (black flying fox). Lineage: Eukaryota; Metazoa; Chordata; Mammalia; Chiroptera; Pteropodidae. The record is from RNAcentral.